AUUGAACGCUGGCGGCAUGCCUUACACAUGCAAGUCGAACGGCAGCACGGGGGCAACCCUGGUGGCGAGUGGCGAACGGGUGAGUAAUAUAUCGGAACGUGCCCUAGAGUGGGGGAUAACUAGUCGAAAGACUAGCUAAUACCGCAUACGAUCUAAGGAUGAAAGUGGGGAUCGCAAGACCUCAUGCUCCUGGAGCGGCCGAUAUCUGAUUAGCAGUUGGUGGGGUAAAGCCUACCAAGGCGACGAUCAGUAGCUGGUCUGAGAGGACGACCAGCCACACUGGGACUGAGACACGGCCCAGACUCCUACGGGAGGCAGCAGGUGGGAAUUUUGGACAAGUGGGGCAACCCUGAUCCAGCAAUGCCGCGUGUGUGAAGAAGG
This 381-nucleotide ribosomal RNA is filed under the name uncultured bacterium. RNAcentral's name for it is "bacterial SSU rRNA". It matches the Rfam family "Bacterial small subunit ribosomal RNA", at positions 30 to 414 of the family's 1533-position model. The record is from RNAcentral.